Molecule: ribosomal RNA, 253 nt
Filed under: uncultured bacterium
Lineage: Bacteria
Description: partial 16S ribosomal RNA
Rfam family: Bacterial small subunit ribosomal RNA
Source: RNAcentral
UACGUAGGGGGCUAGCGUUGUCCGGAUUUAUUGGGCGUAAAGAGCGUGUAGGCGGCCAGGUAGGUCUGCUGUGAAAACUCGAGGCUCAACCUCGAGACGUCGGCGGAAACCAUCUGGCUAGAGUCCGGAAGAGGAGAGUGGAAUUCCUGGUGUAGCGGUGAAAUGCGCAGAUAUCAGGAAGAACACCCGUGGCGAAGGCGGUUCUCUGGGACGGCACUGACGCUGAGACGCGAAAGCGUGGGGAGCGAACAGG